Non-coding RNA from Podarcis lilfordi (Lilford's wall lizard), 135 nucleotides. The record is from the annotation of a GenBank genome assembly. Lineage: Eukaryota; Metazoa; Chordata; Lepidosauria; Squamata; Lacertidae.
GCUUCUGCGCAUGCCCAGACGCCGAAAAUCGCGCUUGCGCAGAUGUGAUUUCCGGUAUCUGUGCAUGUGCAGACGCAAUUUCCGGUAUCUGUGCGUGUGCAGACGCGAUUUCCGGUAUCUGUGCAUGCGUAGACG